AUUUAUAUAGUUUAACUAAUUUAAAACCCCUUAUUUUCAAUAAGGAGAAAAGAUCUUUUCUUUAUAAAUA
This 70-nucleotide transfer RNA is filed under the name Dalpada cinctipes. Its description in RNAcentral is "tRNA-Glu". Lineage: Eukaryota; Metazoa; Arthropoda; Insecta; Hemiptera; Pentatomidae. The record is from RNAcentral.